GACGAACGCGGGCGGUGUGCUUCACACAUGCAAGUCGAACGAGGUAGCAAUACCUAGUGGCGGACGGGUGAGUAACGCGUGGGAAUCUGCCUUUGAAUGGGGGAUAACGGGCCGAAAGGUCCGCUAAUACCGCAUAGGCCGCAAGGUUAAAGGAGUAAUCCGUUCAAAGAUGAGCCCGCGUCCGAUUAGCUAGUUGGUAGGGUAAAAGCCUACCAAGGCGACGAUCGGUAGCUGGUCUGAGAGGAUGAUCAGCCACAAUGGGACUGAGACACGGCCCAUACUCCUACGGGAGGCAGCAGUGGGGAAUUUUACGCAAUGGGCGAAAGCCUGACGUAGCGACACCGCGUGAGCGAAGAAGCCCUUUGGGGUGUAAAGCUCUGUCAGCUGGAACGAAAAAAAUGACGGUACCAGCAGAGGAAGCAUCGGCUAACUACGUGCCAGCAGCCGCGGUAAGACGUAGGAUGCGAGCGUUGUCCGGAUUUAUUGGGCGUAAAGAGUUCGUAGGUGGUUUGUUAAGUCUGAUGUUAAAGAUUGGGGCUCAACCCUGAAAAUGCAUGGAUACUGGCA
This 567-nucleotide ribosomal RNA is filed under the name uncultured bacterium. RNAcentral's name for it is "bacterial SSU rRNA". It matches the Rfam family "Bacterial small subunit ribosomal RNA", at positions 28 to 638 of the family's 1533-position model. The record is from RNAcentral.